GUGAUGGUUGCGAUGUGUUGUGUGAUGGUUGUGAUGUGUUGUGUGAUGUUGUGAUGUGUUGUGUGAUGUUGCGAUGUGUUGUGUGAUGGUUGCGAUGUGUUGUGUGGUGGUUGCAAUGUGUUGUGUGAUGGUUGUGAUGUGUUGUGUGAUGUUGUGAUGUGUUGUGUGAUGGUUGCAAUGUGUUGUGUGGUGGUUGUGAUGUGUUGUGUGAUGGUUGCGAUGUGUUGUGUGGUGGUUGUGAUGUGUUGUGUGAUGUUGUGAUGUGUUGUGUGAUGUUGCGAUGUGUUGUGUGAUGGUUGCGAUGUGUUGUGUGAUGGUUGCGAUGUGUUGUGUGAUGGUUGCGAUGUGUUGUGUGAUGGUUGUGAUGUGUUGUGUGAUGGUUGUGAUGUGUUGUGUGAUGGUUGCGAUGUGUUGUGUGAUGUUGUGAUGUGUUGUGUAAUGGUUGCGAUGUGUUGUGUGAUGGUUGCGAUGUGUUGUGUGAUGGUGUGGGGGUGGACGGGCAUCACCUUACAGAAUGAUAGAAUUAUUGUGGGUUCAAUCUUGAAGAAAAAGACUCGACAUAGGACACAACAAAACAACAGCCGACUGCACAAGACUGUUCCUUGUUUGUUUGUAUUUUUAUUGGAGUUGUUUUGAAUAACUUGCCCAGACAAUGCAGUUGAAAAUGAGCCGGUUGGCUAAAACCGUCACUUUUACUGAAACGUUGAUUAACCUAGAGUCUAAAGCCAGGGGAGGGGGGGGUUCUACUAAGCUAUAAGGAAUUGUUUAAGAAGGUCAUACAAAGGAUCAAUUAGCUAUUGUAUUUUAUAUUUUAAGACCCCUUGAAGGAUUCCAGAAAUAUACGUAAAAAAACAUAUUUUGGGCCUUACUGCUAAUGGCCCAUACAAACACAUUGAAUAACAGAUUCACUAUAUGGAACAACAGAUAGUCUCCCCCAAAAUAAUCUAAAGGAAGUUUGUGUCUGUCAUAAAUCUGAGAGAUAUAAGAAAGAUCAGGAAACAUUUUUAUUUGAUUUUACAUGUACUUAACCAUUUUUUUUAGCACUAAACAGUCUCCAUAUAGACUUCCAUAAAUGUUUUCAACUGGUACCAGGGACCAUCAGAUGAGUCUUGUGAGGACAAUGGGCGUCUUAGAGCAAAACAACCUACAUGUAUGUAUUUGUGAGAUGUGGAAGUGUGACAUGGAUUGAGAUGCAUCUACAGAAAAUAAUUAUUGGGUAGGGUGACUGGGUUAUUGGGUAGGGUAACUAACUGGGUUAGUGGGUAGGGUAACAGGGUUAGUGGGUAGGGUAACUAACUGGGUUAGUGGGUAGGGUAACAGGGUUAGUGGGUAGGGUAACUAACUGGGUUAUUGGGUAGGGUAACUAACUGGGUUAGUGGGUAGGGUAACUAACUGGGUUAGUGGGUAGGGUAACUAACUGGGUUAUUGGGUAGGGUAACUAACUGGGUUAGUGGGUAGGGUAACUAACUGGGUUAGUGGGUAGGGUAACUAACUGGGUUAUUGGGUAGGGUGACUGGGUUAGUGGGGUAACUAACUGGGUUAGUGGGUAGGGUAACUAACUGGGUUAUUGGGUAGGGUGACUGGGUUAGUGGGUAGGGUAACUAACUGGGUUAUUGGGUAGGGUGACUGGGUUAGUGGGUAGGGUAACUAACUGGGUUAGUGGGUAGGGUAACAGGGUUAGUGGGUAGGGUAACUAACUGGGUUAUUGGGUAGGGUAACUAACUGGGUUAGUGGGUAGGGUAACUAACUGGGUUAGUGGGUAGGGUAACUAACUGGGUUAUUGGGUAGGGUGACUGGGUUAGUGGGUAGGGUAACUAACUGGGUUAUUGGGUAGGGUAACUAACUGGGUUAGUGGGUAGGGUGACUGGGUUAUUGGGUAGGGUGACUGGGUUAGUGGGUAGGGUGACUGGGUUAUUGGGUAGGGUGACUGGGUUAGUGGGUAGGGUGACUGGGUUAGUGGGUAGGGUAACUAACUGGGUUAGUGGGUAGGGUAACUGGGUUAGUGGGUAGGGUAACUAACUGGGUUAUUGGGUAGGGUAACUAACUGGGUUAGUGGGUAGGGUAACUAACUGGGUUAUUGGGUAGGGUGACUGGGUUAUUGGGUAGGGUGACUGGGUUAGUGGGUAGGGUGACUGGGUUAUUGGGUAGGGUGACUGGGUUAUUGGGUAGGGUGACUGGGUUAGUGGGUAGGGUGAGAUUGAGUGUCUUCAGACUUUUUGACAAGAUGCAGACUGUUAGAAUCUAGAUUCAGGCUCAUGGAUUUCAAGAUUAAUCCAUGUCAACUGCAUAUCAACGUGAACCUAGCCCGUAGUAGGAAUGUGUUGGAGAGGGGUGUGAUCACAGAAAUACCAAGCUGAAACACACUGCAACACAGAGACAGUGAAACAGGACAGUGAAAGAGACCGAAGCAUUAGGCUCCCCAGUUAAAGAUGCCCUGUGCAGUACAUUUCAGGCUGAACCAUUCUCCCUUGGUCACAAUUUGUUUGGCACAUCGUAUUCCUAAUACUUUUAACACUCAGCCUUUAGAAUGAUUACGUUGUUAUGGGUACAGUAGGACAUCAGAGAGUUAUUAUUUUUCUUUUUGUGUACUUUAAUAACAAGACGUGUCUUUAUUUUGGUGAGGUCUUAAAACAUCUCAUAGCCUUUAUGUUCUAGAGACAGUGAGCCAACCACUGAACUGGAGAGCAACCUGCACACUGAAGACUAUGGCAGCGUCUGAAAUGGAGCCCUCUGCCCUAUAUAGUGCACUACUAUAGACCAGAGCCCUAUUCGCUAUAUAGUGCACUACUAUAGACCAGAGCCCUAUUCCCUAUAUAGUGCGCAACUUUUGACAUAGAGCUCUGGUCAAUAGUAGUGCGCUAUAUAGGGAAUAGGGUUCCAUUUGUUGCUUAGCUAAACCUACAAUAUCUCUUCAGGGUCUACAUUUUAUUUGGCAAGCCUCCAGUUAAAUUAAAAGCAGAGGAAGCUCCUCUUCUACCAUGUCUACAAGGAAUGGGGAUACUCCCAGAUCAGAGGAAGCUCCUCUUCUACCA
Oncorhynchus tshawytscha (Chinook salmon) is the source of this 3032-nucleotide long non-coding RNA. NCBI's taxonomy places the organism in Eukaryota, Metazoa, Chordata, Actinopteri, Salmoniformes, Salmonidae. The record is from Ensembl.